Molecule: ribosomal RNA, 497 nt
Filed under: uncultured bacterium
Lineage: Bacteria
Description: partial 16S ribosomal RNA
Rfam family: Bacterial small subunit ribosomal RNA
Source: RNAcentral
GAUGAACGCUGGCGGUGUGCCUAAUACAUGCAAGUCGAGCGAGCAGACGAGGAGCUUGCUCCUCUGACGUUAGCGGCGGACGGGUGAGUAACACGUGGAUAACCUACCUAUAAGACUGGGAUAACUUCGGGAAACCGGAGCUAAUACCGGAUAACAUGUUGAACCGCAUGGUUUAACAGUGAAAGACGGUCUUGCUGUCACUUAUAGAUGGAUCCGCGCCGCAUUAGCUAGUUGGUAAGGUAACGGCUUACCAAGGCAACGAUGCGUAGCCGACCUGAGAGGGUGAUCGGCCACACUGGAACUGAGACACGGUCCAGACUCCUACGGGAGGCAGCAGUAGGGAAUCUUCCGCAAUGGGCGAAAGCCUGACGGAGCAACGCCGCGUGAGUGAAGAAGGUCUUCGGAUCGUAAAACUCUGUUAUUAGGGAAGAACAAAUGUGUAAGUAACUAUGCACGUCUUGACGGUACCUAAUCAGAAAGCCACGGCUAACUACGUG